Molecule: ribosomal RNA, 312 nt
Filed under: uncultured bacterium
Lineage: Bacteria
Description: bacterial SSU rRNA
Rfam family: Bacterial small subunit ribosomal RNA
Source: RNAcentral
GACGAACGCUGGCGGCGCGCCUAACACAUGCAAGUCGAGCGGAGUUAUUUGAAAGCUUGCUUUUGGAUAACUGAGUGGCGGACGGGUGAGUAACGCGUGAGUAACCUGCCUUAAAGAGGGGGAUAACGUCGGAAACGACUGCUAAUACCGCAUGAUACAUUUGGGCGGCAUCGCUUGAAUGUCAAAGAUUUUAUCGCUGAAAGAUGGCCUCGCGUCUGAUUAGAUAGUUGGCGGGUAACGGCCCACCAAGUCGACGAUCAGUAGCCGGACUGGGAGGUUGACCGGCCACAUUGGGACUGAGAUACGGCCCAG